This 253-nucleotide ribosomal RNA is filed under the name uncultured Cesiribacter sp. RNAcentral's name for it is "partial 16S ribosomal RNA". It matches the Rfam family "Bacterial small subunit ribosomal RNA", at positions 524 to 776 of the family's 1533-position model. The record is from RNAcentral. Lineage: Bacteria; Pseudomonadati; Bacteroidota; Cytophagia; Cytophagales; Cesiribacteraceae.
UACGUAGGUGGCAAGCGUUGUCCGGAUUUAUUGGGUUUAAAGGGUGCGUAGGUGGUUUUUUAAGUCAGUGGUGAAAUACGGCAGCUCAACUGUCGAGGUGCCAUUGAUACUGGGAGACUUGAGUACUGAUGAGGUAGGCGGAAUGGACGGUGUAGCGGUGAAAUGCUUAGAGAUCGUCCAGAACACCGAUAGCGAAGGCAGCUUACUAAGGAGUAACCGACACUGAGGCACGAAAGUGUGGGGAUCAAACAGG